Molecule: transfer RNA, 95 nt
Filed under: Nocardioides marinisabuli
Lineage: Bacteria; Bacillati; Actinomycetota; Actinomycetes; Propionibacteriales; Nocardioidaceae
Description: tRNA-Ala(ggc)
Source: RNAcentral
GGGCGGCAUGGGUGGCGGCGCGACCCGCGGUGGUGGCGGCACCGACGCCGCCAUCGGCAAGGGCGUGCGCGGCAUCCUGAGCCGCUUCACCCGCC